CCUACGGGUGGCAGCAGUGGGGAAUAUUGCACAAUGGGGGCAACCCUGAUGCAGCGACGCCGCGUGGGGGAAGAAGGCUCUCGGCGUGUAAAGCUCUUUUUGCAGGGAAGAAAACGCCGGUACGCGUAUAAGAAUGCACGGCUAAUUACGUGCCAGCAGCCGCGGUAAUACGGAGGGGGCAAGCGUUAUCCGGAGUUACUGGGUGUAAAGGGGGCGUAGACGGCGGUGCAAGCCAGGAGUGAAAGCCCGGGGCUCAACCCCGGGACUGCCGUUGGAACUGCGUGGCUAGAGUGCAGGAGGGGCAGGCGGAAUGCAUGGUGUAGCGGUGAAAUGCGUAGAUAUCAGGAAGAACACCGGUGGCGAAGGCGGCCUGCUGGACUGCAACUGACGUUGAGGCACGAAAGCGUGGGGAGCAAACAGGAUUAGAUACCCGAGUAGUC
RNAcentral lists this ribosomal RNA (440 nucleotides) under uncultured bacterium. Its description in RNAcentral is "partial 16S ribosomal RNA". It matches the Rfam family "Bacterial small subunit ribosomal RNA", at positions 338 to 795 of the family's 1533-position model. The record is from RNAcentral.